RNAcentral lists this ribosomal RNA (292 nucleotides) under uncultured bacterium. RNAcentral describes it as "partial 16S ribosomal RNA". It matches the Rfam family "Bacterial small subunit ribosomal RNA", at positions 505 to 796 of the family's 1533-position model. The record is from RNAcentral.
GUGUCAGCAGCCGCGGUAAGACAGAGGGGGCUAGCGUUGCUCGGAAUCACUGGGCGUAAAGGGCGCGUAGGCGGGGUGGCAAGUCGGUCGUGAAAUCCUCCGGCUCAACCGGAGAACGUCGGCCGAAACUGCCAUUCUUGAGGGAUGCAGAGGAGACUGGAAUUCCCGGUGUAGCGGUGAAAUGUGUAGAGAUCGGGAGGAACACCGGUGGCGAAGGCGGGUCUCUGGGCAUCUCCUGACGCUGAGGCGCGAAAGCGUGGGGAGCAAACGGGAUUAGAAACCCGUGUAGUCC